GAUGAACGCUGGCGGCGUGCCUAAUACAUGCAAGUCGAGCGAACAGACGAGGAGCUUGCUCCUCUGACGUUAGCGGCGGACGGGUGAGUAACACGUGGAUAACCUACCUAUAAGACUGGGAUAACUUCGGGAAACCGGAGCUAAUACCGGAUAAUAUAUUGAACCGCAUGGUUCAAUAGUGAAAGACGGUUUUGCUGUCACUUAUAGAUGGAUCCGCGCCGCAUUAGCUAGUUGGUAAGGUAACGGCUUACCAAGGCGACGAUGCGUAGCCGACCUGAGAGGGUGAUCGGCCACACUGGAACUGAGACACGGUCCAGACUCCUACGGGAGGCAGCAGUAGGGAAUCUUCCGCAAUGGGCGAAAGCCUGACGGAGCAACGCCGCGUGAGUGAUGAAGGUCUUCGGAUCGUAAAACUCUGUUAUUAGGGAAGAACAAAUGUGUAAGUAACUAUCACGUCUUGACGGUACCUAAUCAGAAAGCCACGGCUAACUACGUG
RNAcentral lists this ribosomal RNA (496 nucleotides) under uncultured bacterium. RNAcentral's name for it is "partial 16S ribosomal RNA". It matches the Rfam family "Bacterial small subunit ribosomal RNA", at positions 28 to 507 of the family's 1533-position model. The record is from RNAcentral.